This is a long non-coding RNA of Aedes aegypti (yellow fever mosquito), 974 nucleotides long. RefSeq lists it as uncharacterized. The record is from RefSeq and is a predicted model, not a curated record. The transcript is spliced from 3 exons. Lineage: Eukaryota; Metazoa; Arthropoda; Insecta; Diptera; Culicidae.
UCUUGACUUCCCUGCAAUGCGCUAACUUUUGUCGAAUUCGUUUUUGUUCAGUUCCAACCUAGUUUCGCACUAGUUCCAACCCCAAAACCGAUAGGUUCGCACUGUGAUAAAUCACGGUUUCAUGACUGGGUUCACCAAUACAACUUCAUACGAAUUGUCAAAAUUGUAACAACAAAAACUGUUCUUCAGUACAAACCAACAAAAAAACAUCCAAAAUGCAAAAUUGUGUGCUUGCGGUUACGCUCGCUGCUUCCGAAGUCAAAUUAUUUGAAUCAGAAUCUGAAUCAAAUUUUAACUCGAAACUCCUGCCAGUGCCUGUGAGGUGCAAAUUUGGUUUUAUCAGUUAUUUCGAAAAAAAAGAUAAUUAAGCGAAAGCGUGUGGGUAAUUUUAUGAACACCACGUCGUUCACUGAAAUAAAUCGAACCGAAUAUUUUAUUAGAAAUUCCAUAUCCAUUCAACUGUAUCUAUGUUGCAUAAAAUUCAUAUGGAUUCAUAUCCGUGUCAUCUGUCAAACAUUUCUGAUUCAACAGUGGCUUAGUGAAUAUUAUCGUCACUGGCUAACAUUGUUGUUAUAUGCAUUGAACAUAUAACCGGUACAUGUUUCGUACAUAGUUUCGACGGAUUCAAUGGCAUUGCGAUUGGCAUAUGCGUAUUCUUCAUAUCACCAGUAUGAUUUUAUUCAGUCGUCGCAACAGAUGGAGAAUAGCUUACGAACAGGCAAGGUUACUGAAGAAUCAGGAAGUUCUCUCUUUGCCUUUUGAAAAUAAUAAAUGCAUGUUCGACCCUAGCGCUCGUUCAGAAGCUGUAUCCUGAAAAUUGUUAGGAUCAAACCUGAACGGUAAAGAUCUUAUUGGCAAUGUAAAAAUGGCUAAGUAUUGGGCAACAUACUGGAAUCUAUCAUAUGUGGACAGGAAAGGAAAUUAGCAUUGUAAGUUAUUAAUAGCAGAUACCAUGUAGAUGAAACAGUAAAAAC